RNAcentral lists this transfer RNA (65 nucleotides) under Trichonephila clavata. It matches the Rfam family "tRNA". From Rfam's summary of the family: Transfer RNA (tRNA) molecules are approximately 80 nucleotides in length. Their secondary structure includes four short double-helical elements and three loops (D, anti-codon, and T loops). The record is from Rfam by way of RNAcentral. Lineage: Eukaryota; Metazoa; Arthropoda; Arachnida; Araneae; Nephilidae.
GUCCCUGUAGUGCAAUGGAUAGCGCGUUGGAUUUCUAAUCCAAAGGUCGAAUCCCACCUGGGAUG